UACGGAGGAUGCAAGCGUUAUCCGGAAUGAUUGGGCGUAAAGCGUCCGCAGGUGGCUGUGUAAGUCUGCUGUUAAAGAGUGAGGCUCAACCUCAUAAAAGCAGUGGAAACUACAUGGCUAGAGUGCGUUCGGGGCAGAGGGAAUUCCUGGUGUAGCGGUGAAAUGCGUAGAGAUCAGGAAGAACACCGGUGGCGAAAGCGCUCUGCUAGGCCGCAACUGACACUGAGGGACGAAAGCUAGGGGAGCGAAUGGG
Molecule: ribosomal RNA, 253 nt
Filed under: uncultured bacterium
Lineage: Bacteria
Description: partial 16S ribosomal RNA
Rfam family: Bacterial small subunit ribosomal RNA
Source: RNAcentral